UACGAAGGGGGCUAGCGUUGCUCGGAAUUACUGGGCGUAAAGCGCACGUAGGCGGCUUUCUAAGUCGGGGGUGAAAUCCUGGAGCUCAACUCCAAGAACGUGCCUUCGAUACUGGAGAGCUUGAGUCCAGGAGAGGUGAGUGGAACUGACGAGUGUAGAGGUGAAAUUCGUAGAUAUCGCAAGAACACCAGUGGCGAAGGCGGCUCACUGGCCCGGUACUGACGCUGAGGUGCGAAA
This 237-nucleotide ribosomal RNA is filed under the name uncultured bacterium. Its description in RNAcentral is "partial 16S ribosomal RNA". It matches the Rfam family "Bacterial small subunit ribosomal RNA", at positions 524 to 758 of the family's 1533-position model. The record is from RNAcentral.